This 3750-nucleotide unclassified non-coding RNA is filed under the name Drosophila yakuba. Its description in RNAcentral is "GE16006". The record is from RNAcentral. Lineage: Eukaryota; Metazoa; Arthropoda; Insecta; Diptera; Drosophilidae.
AGUGUAGUCAAAAUUCAGUUUAACACAGACUUUGCAACUUCAAGGUACUAGCUACUAAAAUAAUUUACACUUUGCAAUAUAUGUGCCGUCCCGUUCUGGCAUGGUCCUUGCCAACAAAAACUCCCCACCGCGAUAAUACGGCGUUCCUGGGUCUGCAGUUCAACAAGUGCAAGAAUAUCGCAACUAUUUCAAAUUCGGUUGUUUUGGUCACACUUGUUUGUUUGUUUCCACAAUUGUCAAGUUUAUUUUUAAGCAAAUUCCGGUAUUCAUCGUUAUGGAUAUACAACAACUGGAGGUGCUUUGCAAGCAACUCUAUGAAGCCACAGACAUAAGAAUACGUGCCGAGGCGGAAAAAGCCCUAGUCACAUUUGUAAGCAGCCAGGAUGCGCUGCCCAAAUGCCAGUUGCUGCUGGACAGAGCCGAUUCCAGCUACGCCCAGUUACUGGCCGCCUCCACACUCACCAAACUCAUUCAGGGAUUAAGUCUGGAGCAAAGGAUUGACAUUCGCAGCUAUGCUCUUAACUAUCUGGCCACCGUACCCAAUCUGCAGCACUUUGUUGUCCAGGCCUUGGUUACUCUGCUGGCGAAGAUAACCAAGUUCGGAUGGUUCGAUUCGUUCAAGGAGGAAAUGGUGUUCCAAAACCUAUUGGAAGAUGUCAAAAAGUUCUUGCAGGGCUCCGUGGAGCACUGCACCAUUGGCGUCCAAAUUCUGUCACAACUGGUUUGUGAGAUGAACUCAGUUGUCGAGAUGGACGUGCACCUGUCCUUCUCCAAAAAUCGCAAAAUAGCCACAUCGUAUCGGGACCAGCAACUCUUUGAAACCUUUCUGCUAUCCUGCUCUCUGCUGAUCACAGCCCGUGAUAAUAGCAAAAACAUUAACUUCAUGGACGAGUCGCAGCAAGCGUUAAUAUCACACGUCUUACGUCUAACGAAAAAUUGCCUGAGCUUCGACUUCAUUGGCAGUUCCACAGAUGAGUCUGCGGAUGAUAUGAACAACGUUCAGAUACCCACAGCUUGGCGUCCUGCAUUCUUAGAUUCGAACACACUUAAACUCUUUUUUGAUUUAUACCAAAUUUUGCCCAAUGGUUUAGCUAGCUACUCCAUAUCCUGCCUGGUUCAAAUGACAUCUGUGCGUCGCUCUCUUUUUAGUAAUUCUGAGAGAACAAAAUUUCUAACGCACUUGGUAGAAGGAGUCAGAGAUAUUUUAAAUACCCUCCACGGCUUGAGUGACCCAGAUAACUAUCACGAGUUCUGCCGUUUGCUAGCUCGUCUUAAGUCUAAUUAUCAAUUGGGUGAACUUAUAGCGGUCCCAUGUUAUGCAGAAGCAAUCCAACUAAUAGCUAAGUUUACUGUCCAAUCCCUACAUGUAUGGCUUUUUGCACCGAACAGUGUACAUUACUUACUCACACUUUGGCAACGCAUGGUUGCGUCUGUACCAUAUGUAAAGUCCCCGGAUCCGCAUUUGCUAGGUACCUACACCCCGGAGGUUAUCAAAGCCUAUAUUGACUCGCGCCUGGAUGCUGUUCCUGUUAUUGUCCGUGACAACUUGGAUGAUCCCCUAGACGAUCUGUGUAUGGUGCAGCAACAGCUGGAGCAACUGUCGGUAAUCGAAAGGUGCGAGUAUAACAAGACGGUUAGUCUGCUUGUCCAGCAUUUCGAUCAAAAAGCCCGAGAGUAUGAGAACUUGCUGCAGACGCCUAACGCUAAUACCAUAGAUAUCACUAUACACGAGCUACAAUUAACGUGGCUGGUGUAUAUAAUUGGGUCGGCAAUAGUGGGUCGCCUCUCGGUUACGACAAGCGAUGAGCAUGACACAAUGGACGCGGAGCUCGUGAUAAGGGUCCUGCAACUGAUGAGCCUCACCGAUGCUCGAUUGCCCCAAGCGGGUUGCGAAAAGCUGGAGCUGGCGAUACUGAGCUUUUUGGACCAGGUCCGAAAAAUGCAUAGCAGCGAGCAGGCGCAAAAAGCCAAUUUGAACAAGAGACUUAGCGAGGUCUUUGGACUGAGUGACGAGCAAAUGCUUUUAAGUUUUAUUAAUCGCAAAAUAAUUACAAAUUUAAAGUUUUGGGGACGCUCUGAGCCGAUUAUCACCAAAACCCUGAUGUUAUUAUCCGAUCUCUCUGUGCAUUUUAAUUCUGUGCGCAAACUGGCACGUCUAGAAGAAGUCCAGUUUAUGCUUACACAUCACACAAGCGAACAUUUCCCAUUCCUAGGAACGAAUUCCACUUUGAGCGAGAUGAGAUGUCGCACAAUGUUCUAUACUUCAUUAGGCCGAUUACUGAUGUUCGAUUUGGGCGAGGAUGAAGAAAGAUUCUACAAUUUUUUGGAACCUUUAACAAAUCAAUUCGAGUCCCUUGGCUCUGUGCUGAUGGACAAUAACAUCUUCUCUAAUGAAGAGGCUAAAAAGGCCAUUAUUGGCUUGGCUCGAGACCUCCGUGGAUUAGCGCUGCCGCUCAACGCGCGCAUUCAAUACACCAUGCUUUUCGAAUGGUUGUAUUAUGCAGACUAUUUGCCCAUACUAUUGCGUGCGAUGGAGCUGUGGGCUCACGAUCCUGCCGUUACGACACCAAUUCUAAAAUUGUUUGCCGAACUAGUGCAUUGCCGCACCCAAAGGCUGGCAGGCAAUGUAUCCAGCCCAAUGGGCAUUCUCCUAUUCCGCGAGGCCUCGAAACUAAUUUGUAUAUACGGCAAUCGCAUUCUGCACCAAGAAGUUCCACGUGAUCGACUUUACCCGAUGAGACUGAAGGGAAUUGCCAUAUGCUUCUUGAUCUUAAAGAACUCACUUGGCGGCAACUAUGUCAAUUGUGGGGUAUUUAAAUUGUACGGAGAUGAUACAUUGGACAGUGUACUCAAUAUUAUCGCCAAGUUGAUUCUUACCAUAGAACAGAGCGAUUUACUUGAAUACCCAAAAUUAUCAACGGCCUACUACAACUUACUAAAUUGUCUGUCGCAAGAUCAUGUUUCUUACUUGGCUGCCUUGGAGCCUGCUGCAUUCGUUUACAUUUUAAAAAGUCUUACCAAAGGACUGGCCGCAUUAGACUCGGCCAUUUAUAUAAGUUGCUGCACAAUUUUGGAUAGUAUUGUGUCGUACAUUUUUAAACAGCUUCAGAUGAAAGUUUCUACAUUUCCAAACAAAAAGCUCCGUAGCUUAAAUCAAGAAAAUGCGCAAUUCUUAAAGGUUGUUGAAAUGAAUUCUGAGUUACUCCAGAGUAUGAUGUCCUCAUUACUGAACAACGUGUUGGCAGAGGAUUGUCGAAACCAGUGGUCCAUGUCACGUCCAUUGCUGGUUCUCAUAUUACUUUAUGAGGACUAUUACCGAUCCUUAAAGGAUAGAAUUAUCUGUGGUCAACCAAUUGAAAAGCAACAGACAAUGGCGCAAUGGUUCGAUGAUCUGAUGGUCGGCAUUGAGCGAAAUGUUUCCAGUAAAAACAAAGAAAAAUUCACACAGAAUUUGUCAACAUUUCGGCGCGAUGUAGUUAACCUGCCAAAGUCCACAACAGUUACAUAGGCGGUGCUGAUUACAUCGCGACAAACGCAUCUUCAGCAGCGGAUCAAAAUGCGAAUUCCGGGAACCAUUCCAUGGUUCGGAAACGAAAACGUGGGAAAUAAAAAGUAUUCGAAAAUAUCGCCGGCGACAACAAAAAUUUGGGGUGAAAUGUGUUCCAUAUGGCAAAUUAUGCAAGUUUUGUUUCUGCAGUAUUUCAUUCACUCAAUUCUGUAAAUUAUUGUAAUAUACGAAUGCGCAAAAUA